CUGCUUCGCUGACGAGUGGCGGACGGGUGAGUAAUGUCUGGGAAACUGCCUGAUGGAGGGGGAUAACUACUGGAAACGGUAGCUAAUACCGCAUAACGUCGCAAGACCAAAGAGGGGGACCUUCGGGCCUCUUGCCAUCGGAUGUGCCCAGAUGGGAUUAGCUAGUAGGUGGGGUAACGGCUCACCUAGGCGACGAUCCCUAGCUGGUCUGAGAGGAUGACCAGCCACACUGGAACUGAGACACGGUCCAGACUCCUACGGGAGGCAGCAGUGGGGAAUAUUGCACAAUGGGCGCAAGCCUGAUGCAGCCAUGCCGCGUGUAUGAAGAAGGCCUUCGGGUUGUAAAGUACUUUCAGCGGGGAGGAAGGCGAUAAGGUUAAUAACCUUGUCGAUUGACGUUACCCGCAGAAGAAGCACCGGCUAACUCCGUGCCAGCAGCCGCGGUAUACGGAGGGUGCAAGCGUUAAUCGGAAUUACUGGGCGUAAAGCGCACGCAGGCGGUCUGUCAAGUCGGAUGUGAAAUCCCCGGGCUCAACCUGGGAACUGCAUUCGAAACCGGCAGGCUAGAGUCUUGUAGAGGGGGGUAGAAUUCCAGGUGUAGCGGUGAAUGCGUAGAGAUCUGGAGGAAUACCGGUGGCGAAGGCGGCCCCCUGGACAAAGACUGACGCUCAGGUGCGAAAGCGUGGGGAGCAAACAGGAUUAGAUACCCUGGUAGUCCACGCCGUAAACGAUGUCGACUUGGAGGUUGUGCCCUUGAGGCGUGGCUUCCGGAGCUAACGCGUUAAGUCGACCGCCUGGGGA
This 801-nucleotide ribosomal RNA is filed under the name uncultured bacterium. RNAcentral describes it as "bacterial SSU rRNA". It matches the Rfam family "Bacterial small subunit ribosomal RNA", at positions 80 to 879 of the family's 1533-position model. The record is from RNAcentral.